This 552-nucleotide ribosomal RNA is filed under the name Aureobasidium pullulans. Its description in RNAcentral is "eukaryotic LSU rRNA". It matches the Rfam family "Eukaryotic large subunit ribosomal RNA", at positions 89 to 656 of the family's 3401-position model. The record is from RNAcentral. Lineage: Eukaryota; Fungi; Ascomycota; Dothideomycetes; Dothideales; Saccotheciaceae.
GCGAGUGAAGCGGCAACAGCUCAAAUUUGAAAGCUAGCCUCCGGGUUCGCAUUGUAAUUUGUAGAGGAUGAUUUGGGGAAGCCGCCUGUCUAAGUUCCUUGGAACAGGACGUCAUAGAGGGUGAGAAUCCCGUAUGUGACAGGAAAUGGCACCCUAUGUAAAUCUCCUUCGACGAGUCGAGUUGUUUGGGAAUGCAGCUCUAAAUGGGAGGUAAAUUUCUUCUAAAGCUAAAUAUUGGCGAGAGACCGAUAGCGCACAAGUAGAGUGAUCGAAAGAUGAAAAGCACUUUGGAAAGAGAGUUAAAAAGCACGUGAAAUUGUUGAAAGGGAAGCGCUUGCAAUCAGACUUGUUUAAACUGUUCGGCCGGUCUUCUGACCGGUUUACUCAGUUUGGACAGGCCAGCAUCAGUUUCGGCGGCCGGAUAAAGGCUCUGGGAAUGUGGCCUCCACUUCGGUGGAGGUGUUAUAGCCCAGGGUGUAAUACGGCCAGCCGGGACUGAGGUCCGCGCUUCGGCUAGGAUGCUGGCGUAAUGGUUGUAAGCGACCCGUCUUG